RNAcentral lists this ribosomal RNA (465 nucleotides) under uncultured bacterium. RNAcentral describes it as "partial 16S ribosomal RNA". It matches the Rfam family "Bacterial small subunit ribosomal RNA", at positions 28 to 507 of the family's 1533-position model. The record is from RNAcentral.
GACGAACGCUGGCGGCGUGCUUAACACAUGCAAGUCGAACGGAAAGGCCCUGCUUGCAGGGUACUCGAGUGGCGAACGGGUGAGUAACACGUGGGUGAUCUGCCCUGCACUUCGGGAUAAGCCUGGGAAACUGGGUCUAAUACCGGAUAGGAGCCAUUUUUAGUGUGAUGGUUGGAAAGUUUUUUCGGUGUAGGAUGAGCUCGCGGCCUAUCAGCUUGUUGGUGGGGUAAUGGCCUACCAAGGCGGCGACGGGUAGCCGGCCUGAGAGGGUGGACGGCCACAUUGGGACUGAGAUACGGCCCAGACUCCUACGGGAGGCAGCAGUGGGGAAUAUUGCACAAUGGGCGGAAGCCUGAUGCAGCGACGCCGCGUGGGGGAUGACGGCCUUCGGGUUGUAAACUCCUUUCGCUAGGGACGAAGCUUUUUGUGACGGUACCUAGAUAAGAAGCACCGGCUAACUACGUG